UACGGAGGGGGCUAGCGUUUUUCGGAAUUACUGGGCGUAAAGCGCGUGUAGGCGGGUCCUUAAGUCGGGGGUGAAAGCCCGGGGCUCAACCUCGGAACUGCCUUCGAUACUGAGGACCUGGAGUCUGGGAGAGGUGAGCGGAAUUCCGAGUGUAGAGGUGAAAUUCGUAGAUAUUCGGAGGGACACCAGAGGCGAAGGCGGCUCACUGGACCAGUACUGACGCUGAGACGCGAAAGCGUGGGGAGCAAACAGG
Molecule: ribosomal RNA, 253 nt
Filed under: uncultured bacterium
Lineage: Bacteria
Description: partial 16S ribosomal RNA
Rfam family: Bacterial small subunit ribosomal RNA
Source: RNAcentral